CACGUAGGGGGCGAGCGUUGUCCGGAAUUACUGGGCGUAAAGGGCGCGUAGGCGGCCUAAUAAGUCAGAUGUGAAAACCCUGGGCUUAACCCUGGGAUUGCAUUUGAAACUGUUGGGCUUGAGGGCAGGAGAGGAAAGCGGAAUUCCCAGUGUAGCGGUGAAAUGCGUAGAUAUUGGGAGGAACACCAGUGGCGAAGGCGGCUUUCUGGACUGAACCUGACGCUGAGGCGCGAAAGCCAGGGUAGCGAACGGGAUUAGAUACCCCGGUAGUCCUGGCCGUAAACGAUGGAUACUAGGUGUGGGAGGUAUCGACCCCUUCCGUGCCGGAGCAAACGCAAUAAGUAUCCCGCCUGGGGAGUACGGCCGCAAGGCUGAAACUCAAAGGAAUUGACGGGGGCCCGCACAAGCGGUGGAGCAUGUGGUUUAAUUCGAUGCAACGCGAAGAACCUUACCAGGUCUUGACAUCCCUCUGACGUGUAUAGAGAUAUACAUUCUCUUCGGAGCAGAGGAGACAGGUGGUGCAUGGCU
RNAcentral lists this ribosomal RNA (528 nucleotides) under uncultured bacterium. RNAcentral describes it as "bacterial SSU rRNA". It matches the Rfam family "Bacterial small subunit ribosomal RNA", at positions 524 to 1050 of the family's 1533-position model. The record is from RNAcentral.